UACGUAGGGUGCGAGCGUUAAUCGGAAUUACUGGGCGUAAAGCGUGCGCAGGCGGCUUUGCAAGACAGAUGUGAAUCCCCGGGCUCAACCUGGGAACUGCAUUUGUGACUGCAAGGCUAGAGUACGGCAGAGGGGGAUGGAAUUCCGCGUGUAGCAGUGAAAUGCGUAGAUAUGCGGAGGAACACCAAUGGCGAAGGCAAUCCCCUGGGCCUGUACUGACGCUCAUGCACGAAAGCGUGGGGAGCAAACAGG
Molecule: ribosomal RNA, 252 nt
Filed under: uncultured bacterium
Lineage: Bacteria
Description: partial 16S ribosomal RNA
Rfam family: Bacterial small subunit ribosomal RNA
Source: RNAcentral